AACGAACGCUGGCGGCAUGCCUAACACAUGCAAGUCGAACGAUGCCUUCGGGCAUAGUGGCGCACGGGUGCGUAACGCGUGGGAAUCUGCCUUUCGGUUCGGAAUAACUCAGGGAAACUUGAGCUAAUACCGGAUAACGUCGCAAGACCAAAGAUUUAUCACCGAAAGAUGAGCCCGCGUAGGAUUAGCUAGUUGGUGAGGUAAAGGCUCACCAAGGCGACGAUCCUUAGCUGGUCUGAGAGGAUGAUCAGCCACACUGGGACUGAGACACGGCCCAGACUCCUACGGGAGGCAGCAGUGGGGAAUAUUGGACAAUGGGCGAAAGCCUGAUCCAGCAAUGCCGCGUGAGUGACGAAGGCCUUAGGGUUGUAAAGCUCUUUUACCCGGGAAGAUAAUGACGGUACCGGGAGAAUAAGCCCCGGCUAACUCCGUG
RNAcentral lists this ribosomal RNA (433 nucleotides) under uncultured bacterium. RNAcentral describes it as "partial 16S ribosomal RNA". It matches the Rfam family "Bacterial small subunit ribosomal RNA", at positions 29 to 507 of the family's 1533-position model. The record is from RNAcentral.